GCCAAUCAGAGAUGGCUGGAAAAGUACUUCUGGGCAUCGGAAUCUCUCAGCUCCAAUCGUAAUCACCUGCCCAUCAGGUAGUUCAUAGCUUUUCUCAAUGGCCGAACUAGUCCUGGCUGUCUCCAGUUCUUGCUCAUAAUCAAGGGCCACAUAUGCAAGCUUCUCCUUCACAUCACGGACAAUUUCCCGCUCUGCCGUUGUCGUGAACAUGUAACCUCUUUCAGUAAGAAUUUUCAUCAAAGCAUCAGUCAAAUCACGACCAGCAAGGUCGAGACGUAGGAUUGCAUGAGGGAGUGAAAAGCCCUCGUAUAUAGGCACCGUGUGGCUCACUCCAUCACCAGAAUCCAACACAAUACCUGUUGUCCGACCACUGGCAUAGAGAGAUAAAACGGCCUGGAUUGCAACAUACAUAGCAGGUACGUCGAAGGUUUCAAACAUGAUCUGAGUCAUCUUCUCCCUGUUUGCCUUUGGGUUGAGUGGUGCCUCAGUAAGAAGUAUCGGAUGCUCUUCAGGAGCAACACGAAGCUCAUUGUAG
This 535-nucleotide unclassified non-coding RNA is filed under the name Hevea brasiliensis (rubber tree). The record is from RNAcentral. Lineage: Eukaryota; Viridiplantae; Streptophyta; Magnoliopsida; Malpighiales; Euphorbiaceae.